Molecule: ribosomal RNA, 460 nt
Filed under: uncultured bacterium
Lineage: Bacteria
Description: partial 16S ribosomal RNA
Rfam family: Bacterial small subunit ribosomal RNA
Source: RNAcentral
CCUACGGGAGGCAGCAGUGAGGAAUAUUGGUCAAUGGCCGGAAGGCUGAACCAGCCAUGCCGCGUGAAGGUCAGUGCCCCAUGGGCGUUAAACCUCUUUUGUGCGGGAGCAAUAAUGGUCACGUGUGGCCAGACGAGAGUACCGUACGAAUAAGCAUCGGCUAACUCCGUGCCAGCAGCCGCGGUAAUACGGGGGAUGCAAGCGUUAUCCGGAUUUAAUGGGGUUAAAGGGUGCAUAGGCUGUGAGGUAAGUCAGCGGUGAAAUGCCCCCACUCAACGGGGUGAAGUGCCAUUGAUACUGGCUGGCUGGAGUGCAGGUGCGGUGGGAGGAAGGUGUGGUGUAGCGGUGAAAUGCAAAGAUAUCACGCAGAACACCGAUUGCGAAGGCAUCUCACGGAUCCGCAAUUGACGCUGAUGCACGAAAGCGUGGGUAUCAAACAGGAUUAGAUACCCGGGUAGUC